CCAUAUCAAUGCGAAUCACAAGCAAGCCUGUAGUGACCUUGAGAAGGCCAGUCUAUUCAUCACAGAAGCAUUGCAGAGUGAGAUCCAGAGGAACACAACUCUAUGCAUGUUAGUCCACCGUCUGGAAGAGAGGGCAGCUGAGAAUGGAAGGAGCCAAUCAGAGCAGGUGGAGUCAAACCGGCAGCUGAAGCUCCAGGUGGAUGAACUACAGAGACAACUGGUGGACAAAGACAACUCACUAAUACAAGCCAAACAGAGUAUUGCUGUCCUGAAGAAUGAACUGGCGAACCUGAAACAGCAGCUGCAGACCCACCAGAAUAAUCACAGC
Engraulis encrasicolus (European anchovy) is the source of this 328-nucleotide long non-coding RNA. RefSeq lists it as uncharacterized. The transcript is spliced from 3 exons. Lineage: Eukaryota; Metazoa; Chordata; Actinopteri; Clupeiformes; Engraulidae. The record is from RefSeq and is a predicted model, not a curated record.